This 253-nucleotide ribosomal RNA is filed under the name uncultured bacterium. RNAcentral's name for it is "partial 16S ribosomal RNA". It matches the Rfam family "Bacterial small subunit ribosomal RNA", at positions 524 to 776 of the family's 1533-position model. The record is from RNAcentral.
GACAGAGGUGCCGAGCGUUAGGCGGAAUCACUGGGCUUAAAGCGUGUGUAGGCGGGCCCGUAAGUACCUUGUGAAAUCCCACGGCUCAACCGUGGAACGGCUGGGUAUACUGCGGGCCUUGAGCGGCCUAGGGGCAGACAGAACAAGUGGUGGAGCGGUGAAAUGCGUAGAUAUCACUUGGAACGCCGACGGUGAAAACAGUCUGCUGGGGGCCUGCUGACGCUGAGACACGAAAGCCAGGGGAGCGAACGGG